CCUACGGGUGGCAGCAGUGAGGAAUAUUGGUCAAUGGGCGCGAGCCUGAACCAGCCAAGUAGCGUGAAGGAGGACGGCCCUGCGGAUUGUAAACUUCUUUUAUCAGGGAAUAAAGUGAGGCACGUGUGCCUGUUUGUAUGUACUUUAUGAAUAAGGAUCGGCUAACUCCGUGCCAGCAGCCGCGGUAAUACGGAGGAUCCGAGCGUUAUCCGGAUUUAUUGGGUUUAAAGGGAGCGUAGGUGGGUUGUUAAGUCAGUUGUGAAAGUCUGCGGCUCAACCGUAACAUUGCAGUUGAUACUGGCAGUCUUGAGUAUAGGCGAGGUACGUGGAAUUCGUGGUGUAGCGGUGAAAUGCUUAGAUAUCACGAAGAACUCCGAUCGCGAAGGCAGCUUACCAAACUGCCACUGACAUUGAGGCUCGAAAGUGUGGGUAUCAAACAGGAUUAGAUACCCUAGUAGUC
Molecule: ribosomal RNA, 460 nt
Filed under: uncultured bacterium
Lineage: Bacteria
Description: partial 16S ribosomal RNA
Rfam family: Bacterial small subunit ribosomal RNA
Source: RNAcentral